GCCCAGGUAGCUCAGUUGGUAGAGCAGGGGACUGAAAAUCCCCGUGUCGGCGGUUCGAUUCCGUCCCUGGGCAC
This 74-nucleotide transfer RNA is filed under the name Nannocystis exedens. RNAcentral's name for it is "tRNA-Phe". It matches the Rfam family "tRNA". Rfam says of the family: Transfer RNA (tRNA) molecules are approximately 80 nucleotides in length. Their secondary structure includes four short double-helical elements and three loops (D, anti-codon, and T loops). Further hydrogen bonds mediate the characteristic L-shaped molecular structure. tRNAs have two regions of fundamental functional importance: the anti-codon, which is responsible for specific mRNA codon recognition, and the 3' end, to which the tRNAs corresponding amino acid is attached (by aminoacyl-tRNA synthetases). tRNAs cope with the degeneracy of the genetic code in two manners: having more than one tRNA (with a specific anti-codon) for a particular amino acid; and 'wobble' base-pairing, i.e. permitting non-standard base-pairing at the 3rd anti-codon position. Lineage: Bacteria; Pseudomonadati; Myxococcota; Nannocystales; Nannocystaceae. The record is from RNAcentral.